GUUUAUCAGAAGAGAUCAGAAGCAGAGUCCAGCUGUGUGUCUAUGAGGAGUGAUGCGUCUAUGGAUCAUCCAGUAAAGUUUAAGAGUGGAGAUACAAAGACUGAUCUCAGUUCAGUUUAUCAGAAGAGAUCAGAAGCAGAGUCCAGCUGUGUGUCUAUGAGGAGUGACGCGUCUAUGAAUCAGCCAUUAGAUUAUAAGAGUGAAGAUACAAAGACUGAUCUCAGGCAUGAAGUCCUCAACAGGUUUAGAUCUAAUCUGAUGAAGAAGUUUGAGCGUCUGUAUGAGGG
Molecule: long non-coding RNA, 287 nt
Organism: Sinocyclocheilus rhinocerous
Lineage: Eukaryota; Metazoa; Chordata; Actinopteri; Cypriniformes; Cyprinidae
Exons: 3
Source: RefSeq, a predicted model, not a curated record